Molecule: small nucleolar RNA, 194 nt
Organism: Acomys russatus (golden spiny mouse)
Lineage: Eukaryota; Metazoa; Chordata; Mammalia; Rodentia; Muridae
Product: small nucleolar RNA SNORA74
Exons: 1
Source: RefSeq, a predicted model, not a curated record
CCCAACAGUUGUCAGCUAUCCAGGCUAUACGUGCCUGUGACUGUGUUACACUGUUGGCAGAGCAAACGCUGCUUUACAAAGGACUGGCUCCAAGCACUGUUCUGGUGUGGGAACCGAGUACCUUCAGGCAGUGUUGCAUCCCUGAGAGUGGAAUGACUCCUUGUGGAGUUGGUCCUGGUCUAGGUGCAAACAGU